GGGGAAUCUUCCGCAAUGGGCGCAAGCCUGACGGAGCAACGCCGCGUGAGUGAAGAAGGUUUUCGGAUUGUAAAACUCUGUCCAAAGGGAAGAACGAAAUGACGGUACCUUUGGAGGAAGCCCCGGCUAACUACGUGCCAGCAGCCGCGGUAAAACGUAGGGGGCAAGCGUUGUCCGGAAUUACUGGGCGUAAAGGGCGUGUAGGCGGCCUGCGCAAGUCAGUCGUGAAACCCACCGGCUCAACUGGUGGCUUGCGAUUGAAACUGCCGGGCUUGAGUACAGAAGAGGGGAGUGGAAUUCCCAGUGUAGCGGUGAAAUGCGUAGAUAUUGGGAGGAACACCAGUGGCGAAAGCGGCUCCCUGGCCUGUAACUGACGCUGAGGCGCGAAAGCGUGGGUAGCAAAC
RNAcentral lists this ribosomal RNA (404 nucleotides) under uncultured bacterium. RNAcentral describes it as "bacterial SSU rRNA". It matches the Rfam family "Bacterial small subunit ribosomal RNA", at positions 356 to 773 of the family's 1533-position model. The record is from RNAcentral.